UGAUGUGAGGGAGACCUGACUGACUACAUUGGUCACACCAUUGACCACCAGAGUUGAUUCAGCUGAUCUGGCUAGAUGUAAGGGAGUCUGCUUUCUCCAUUAUCACUCCUCAAAAGUCAUUCUUGAAGUUUUGCACUCACAGGAUAACCAUCUCCAAAUAUAGGAAAAUGGUCUCCAGUCCUAGGGAUCUCAGUAGCUUCCCUCCCCACCUAGAACCUCCAGAUAAGCUCUCAAAAUCCAAACACCUGGUUCAAACUGUUCAGGGAAGAGAUGUUCAGCCUGAGUUUCCAUGUGUUGGACUAAUAA
Molecule: unclassified non-coding RNA, 306 nt
Organism: Mesocricetus auratus (golden hamster)
Lineage: Eukaryota; Metazoa; Chordata; Mammalia; Rodentia; Cricetidae
Gene: 7SK
Rfam family: 7SK RNA
About the family: 7SK was discovered as an abundant small nuclear RNA in the mid-70s but a possible function has only recently been suggested. Two independent studies have found that 7SK RNA binds the CDK9/cyclin T complex (known as elongation factor P-TEFb). P-TEFb activates transcription by phosphorylating the C-terminal domain of RNA polymerase II.
Source: Ensembl